AGUCCCUAUUCCCGCCCUGAAGGUGGCCAAAAGGCUGACUCCCUCCAAGCAGCCCGCCCGCGCCUCCAUCGCCCCCACCCACGUCCCACUCGCCAGCUGCGGACUGAACCCUCACCCUCAAGGGGGUGUAGGUAGGGAAAGAGUUUUGAGCAAGAUUGGGGGUAUCCCUUCAUCCGAAGAUUGUUUGGGAAAGGUUAGGAGCUCUAAAAUGUAUUGAAGCCAACUCUUAAGCGCAAAGUAAAAGAUAAUUUGCGUCCGUCUGCGAGGUAGGACUGAAGAUUCUAUAGAGUGGGCUUCCGAGGAGCAGGAGACACAGGGCGAGCAUGAGAACAUAGGUCUGGAAUGAGGUUCCACCGAGCGUCCGUAGUCUCCUUAGGCGACAUCUAUCGCUUCCUUUAGCACUUCGCAGGAGUCAACGCGGGGUUGGUUGCCCCCAACAGUGGAGCGUUUCCAUAAAGCCGAGCAGAUGAGCCUUCCCAGCCGCCUGCACUGCACCCUUCCCCGCCCCCAACUCCGUACUGGCACCCUGUGUGCCUGAAGGGCUGACACACGUUCUCCCAAAACCUUCAGAAGCGCUUUGCCUUGAAAGAGCUCUCCCUCGUGUGUGUGUGUGUGUGUGUGUGUGUGUGUGUGUGUGUGUGUGUGUGUGUGUGUUUAAACCAUCUCCAGGAUCCCUUAUCAUUUGCUUCCUCUCUCCUUUUUCUCUCUGUUUCUCCCUGUCUUUUUUCUGACGCUUAAGUUUCAGGAUCUUUUAGUUUUUUUCCAUCACAUACAUGUGUAGGUUUUCUGGUACAAACGCCCUGAAACAUCACUUGGGAGGUUAAGACAGGCCCGCGAGUAAAAGCUGGGGACGGAGUGGGUGGGCAGCCAGGUGCAUUACCAGCGCCUUUAUGCCUCUGCCUACACUUCCCGGCCUCCCCCCAUCCCCCCACCCCCCCACCCCACGCCUCACCGUCGCUCCCCGGCCCCACAACAUGAACUUGGAAGCAGAAUUUCAGGCCAAGAUGGAACCUCCCCGUCUCAGGAAGGCGAUUUCUGUUUAAUCCUUGGGAGGCUGCGCUGGCUGGGCCAGGCAGCACGCUCCUUUUCCGAUUAGGGAAAGGACUAAGCUGGGCCGGCAGUCUGCGACCCCUUCCCGGAACCCCAGCCGACUUCGGGGUAUACCUGAGCGCCUUCCGAUGGCUGCUCGCGGGGGUGUGAUCAUCGUCCCCGCAUCAGGCCCGCCAGGCAUCUGCGCGACUCGGGGGUAGGAGGGAGAUGCGUGGGUGGGAGGUGGGGGUCAAACCAAACACCGACAGGGCACACCUACGUUUAUGAUCCUUAAAUGAACUGCGAGGGAAAUUGUGUAAGUAUAAUUUAACUGAGAGAAAUUUAUUGCGAAAUACGCUUAGAGGACUGUGGUCUUUAACAGCCUCAGGGGUUCUUCGGCAAAGAGGUAACGGGGCUUGGAUUUACCACAACUCUGCGGCCACGUUUUCAAAUUUGGAAAAGCACAGAUGAGAAAAGAAGGUUCAGGCGAUUUAUGCGAGAAAGGGCCAAUUUGAACACUGGUAACUAGUGGGAGAAAUAAACUUAUAAGCCACAAACACAUCGGUUCGCAACCGAGCCCACAGCCCCGCGAGGCGCCCCUUCUUCCCAGCUCCCGGAGGAUAACUUCAUUGACUGGCAGGUCGGCGGCCACUUCUGGGAGGGCCACUGUUUACCGAAUGAGAACCUCUCAUGGCACAGUCCUUACAGCAGGGCUGCCCUGUCGCCCUUGCGCGUCCGGGUGCCGGGUCCCGGCGGUGUUCUGCAGCGCGAUCCGGUCCCCGUGCCCUGAGCCACCCAGAGCCCUGGGCCUGCCUGCACCCUGGGGCGCGCUGACUCCCUGGGUCGGGUGGGGGUCCCGGCAGGAUGCACUUCCAGCUGCGGGGUCCGCGGAGUUUGCUCGCACCUGGUUUGGCGCAGGGACGUAGGUUUGGGGGACUGUGUCCCCUGGGAAGAGCAAAAGGUGAAAAGGUCCCCUCUCCCACCAGUGUGCCCCAUCCCCGCCAGUUUUGACUGCGAUCCUAUUUUUCUCUUUGGGGGUCGCCUCAGCCUGUGCCGGAGGGAGUUGGGAGUUGGUCAGGCUUGGGCAGCGGUGGGUGGCAGCCCGGGAGCCGGAGCAGGAGCGCGAGGACCCGCGGACUGGGGCGCAGCGACGAUGGCGCACCGGCUUCUGUCUUCUGCUGCUUUGGGGCUGAGCAUCCGAGGGCGCCUUUCUCCCCAGCUGGACUCGGGGACGCCGGAUCACCCCGCCACCUGCCUCUUGGCCUAAUUCUGGAAGCUUCUCGCCUCCGUUCCUGGACGGCUCUUCCUCAGGGGCAGCAAUGAGCCCCGGGGUGCGCUCAUCUCCUCCGAGAUCAAUUGCUCUACGAUUCCUUUUAGGACUUGCAGGGGGGAGAGGUUGGGGACCCCGGCCCCAGAGUGGCUCCUGCGGCACGGCGGCCCACUCGGAGGGGUCGCAACAAGCGCGCAUUUGUGGCCAAGGUUGUGAUUUCAGGUGCGCUAAUGGGAUCAGACGUCCUGGGAGAAGCGUGAGGGGAUUGGUGCCGUUCCUUCUCCCGGCUUCCAGCGGCCGCCGGGUGGAAGUGGGGACACAGGAGGGCCGCGCUACGGGCGCCCAGCGCGGGCGCUCACACCUCUUGAGGAGGCGUGGAACCCAGCGCCCCAGGUGGGGGUAGGGCGCGGGGGUAUAGGUAGUGAGGGGUGACGCUGGGAGAGGACCGGGAGACGGAGGAAAGGAGACAGCCGGGGACACUACUGAGAGAGGGAGUAAGAGAGUGCGCUGCAGAACCGGGGACAGAGCGGCAGAACCGACCGAGAGCUGGAAUUGGAUUGCGUCCUGUCCCAGCACCAGGACACAGAUAAACAGCCUCCCAGCACUGGUACUCGCCAGAGAAGGGGAAACCCGCGUCCCGCGCUGCUGCUUUCUGCUUCGGAGAACCUUAUCUAGACUUUUGCAUAAUUGCGUGUUGGCUUUCCUAAAUAAUUCGGAAGAGCGAUUUCUGCUUCCACUUGUUCACAUAGGCAAACAAUCCCUGUGGGGAAAAUGUGUGUGUGUGUGUGUGUGUGUGCGCGCGCGCGCGCGCGCGUUCCGGUGACAAUUGAGGCCAGAGGCAAACACAUCCUCUUUCAAAAUGUCCCUUAGGUGAUCCCGUAAAUGACUGUCCUGCUCUAGGCAGUGGGAGUCAUCAUCCACUGGGUAGGGGGCUGUGAUUACUCUGCCUAGGGACCACUUUUCACAGCUCCUUCCCCACCGUAGAUAAGGGUGUUAAAUCAAGGCAUUUAGUUCUACUUUUCCAUUGCACAGAUAAGCAAGCUGAGACCCAGAUAGGUUAAGUGAAGUAUCCAAUUUCUUCUCUCCUUUUCUUUUCUGUAUGCCUCAAGAUGGUUUUAUACACACACACACACACACACAUACAUACACACACACACACACCCUGAACUACGAAAAACAUCACAACUACGGAAGAAACAUUUUUUACUCUUCUUAUUUCCUAAGAAGACCAAAAGUCAGAGCUUGUCUUCUGUCAGAAGCAGAUGGGUGUGUGAUGGCAGUGUGUGAGUGUGCAAGUGUGGGGGGGCUGGGCGUUGGCGCCAUCCUUCCUCCUUCCCUGCUCCAUCCCUGACUCCAUCACCGAGCCCCUUCAGGGAAACACAAGGCAGGAGGUUGUACCGCUAUGCAGAAGACCCCUCCAGGUAGGGAGCUUGAAGAAAUGAAACAGCAGGGAGAACCUGUAUUUGGUGGUGAAAGUGCUGGAAUCUUCUAGGCCUUGCUCAUCUCCAACCAGCUACUUCUCCAAAAUAAAGCAAAACAAAACAAAACAAAACAAGGCAAACAACAACCACCACAGGCCUUUUGCAUCAACUUCCUGUGACUAAGUGACCCUAAGCAGAGAACUGGCUCAGGUCACUUAGGGCAGGGGUAGGACAUUGAAGGCCUUAUUUACUCCAGGAUUAAAAACAGCAUCCCCUCUAACCCUGUCUCUCUUGGGCAGCCUGUCUUUUAAGGAUGUGAAAAGCAGCUUCUUGGAGUCUAAACAGGCACAAUACCCCACUGGGAUGUUUAGGUAUCAGGUUCACAAAAACAGCAUUUUACUCCUGCUUCCCCGAACCCCUUUGCAACCCAGGCUACCAUACUCUUUGCAAGAAUAUCCGGUAUCUUUUCCGGGCAAAAUGAAUUGAGUUGGCACUUCCUGAAAUAUUUUUAUUUUUAGCUUCAAAUAAUUUUGCUCCUAAAACAAAUUAGUUACUUAUCCUCUUCUCACCAUGCCCUAAUUAUUUUUAGCUUUAUUCUAAUUUUUUUUGUUACCUUGAAUUUUGUCUUGAUUUGAGAGUUUGGUAUAGAAUACUUGUUUGCAGACUGGUAAUCUGCAGUUUAUUUUGUUUUUAAAAAACUCUGUGAAGUUUACUGUUGUUUUAAAACUCAUGGAAUAUUAACAAAAAAUAACCUAAUAAUAUUCUUCGAGGCUUAAACUUUGGUUAUAGUCUAUGUCCUAGCCUAGCUUUUAUGAUAAGCCUGUUGCAUUUUAAAGGUGCUUAUUGAUUCACAUGUCUUUCAGUAAAAAAUCUUUUGAGGAACCCAGACUUUUGAAAGCUAUUUAAUUUGCAUGUAUUUGGUCAUUACAGGCUAAAACUGAAGAAUGAGUUUGGAAAUUGGUUCUAUUAGAAAACACUGUUUGCACAUCCAAAUGUUCCCAGUCAAGAUUUCCCAAUAGUGGCAGUGAGAAAGAGAGGCAGAGAGAAUUAGGAUACUUGGGUUCAAAUUUUAGCUUAGUCACUGAUGGGCUGAUUGAGUGAGAAGAACUUAAUCACCUGCAAAAUGAAUUGCUUACAGUAUUUUGAUCUCUAAAUACACUUUUGAUUCUGAUAUUUAAUGAUUUUGUAUUACAAAAUUGGGCAGAAAACGCAUAGCUUCAUAACAAGCAAAAAAUUUUACUGUUAACACAUCAUACUUAUUUUAGAGUAAAUUUGAAGGAGGUUGAUGUUUUGGAAUUUGGUUGGAGAGUUAUCCAAAAGCAAUGUUUCCCUGACUCAACUACAACCAAUUACACACAGUGGCCAGUAGGAAAAGGAUUAAGUUGUCCAGACAAAAUAUAAUGGUAACAAAAAAUAAUCUUGUGCUUUUGACAUCUUUCUGUUUACUUGUUUUUGUCUUGUUCUAAUGCCCCCUGAAUUACUAUUUUCUAAAAAACAGUCUCAUCUAAAAUAAAACAUAGUAAUGUGUUUUCAAAUGAGACAUUUUAUUGUAGUUACGAUUUCUUUUGUAUAUUUUCCUAAUGCAGACUACAAUAAAUACACUAAAAUAUUUCAAAUGGUUUGCUUGUGUAUAUGCUCUUAAGUCGUCUUUAUCCCACUUUGGGAAGCAUAUGCUGUGUUCUGAACAGUUUUAACUUUAUAUAUCAGCAUGACUAAGUCCUUUCAACAACUAUCACGCAAAGACCACGGAGAGCAGAACUAUUCAGGAUAUCAAGAAAUGAACACUAAUGAAUAGGAAACAAUGAACCCUAAUUUUAGGAAGAAAUUAGUUUUGCAAUUCAGCAUUGUCAUUUAAAGUGGAAUUGUGUCUCGUAAAACUUCUGUAACUGCCAUACUUGUU
This 5620-nucleotide long non-coding RNA is filed under the name Homo sapiens (human). Its description in RNAcentral is "HSALNT0303152". The record is from RNAcentral. Lineage: Eukaryota; Metazoa; Chordata; Mammalia; Primates; Hominidae.